AUUGAACGCUGGCGGCAGGCCUAACACAUGCAAGUCGAGCGGAUGAAGGGAGCUUGCUCCUGGAUUCAGCGGCGGACGGGUGAGUAAUGCCUAGGAAUCUGCCUGGUAGUGGGGGAUAACGUCCGGAAACGGGCGCUAAUACCGCAUACGUCCUGAGGGAGAAAGUGGGGGAUCUUCGGACCUCACGCUAUCAGAUGAGCCUAGGUCGGAUUAGCUAGUUGGUGGGGUAAAGGCCUACCAAGGCGACGAUCCGUAACUGGUCUGAGAGGAUGAUCAGUCACACUGGAACUGAGACACGGUCCAGACUCCUACGGGAGGCAGCAGUGGGGAAUAUUGGACAAUGGGCGAAAGCCUGAUCCAGCCAUGCCGCGUGUGUAAAGAAGGUCUUCGAAUUGUAAAGCACUUUAAGUUGGGAGGAAGGGCAGUAAGUUAAUACCUUGCUGUUUUGACGUUACCAACAGAAUAAGCACCGGCUAACUUCGUG
RNAcentral lists this ribosomal RNA (484 nucleotides) under uncultured bacterium. RNAcentral describes it as "partial 16S ribosomal RNA". It matches the Rfam family "Bacterial small subunit ribosomal RNA", at positions 30 to 507 of the family's 1533-position model. The record is from RNAcentral.